GGACUGAUUCCCGAAUGACGCAGGAUUGAUUUUGUAGGAUUACUCGUGAGGCAGCUGAGUACUGUAAUAAGCACGCGUGCCAGCACGCGGUAUACGGAGGGUCGAGCUCGGAUUUGGUUAAAGGCUAGGCGGGCCUGUAAGUCAGUGGUGAAAUCUCAUAGCUUAACUAUGAAACUGCCAUUGAUACUGCAGGCCUUGAGUAAAUUUGAAGUGGCUGGAAUAAGUAGUGUAGCGGUGAAAUGCAUAGAUAUUACUUAGAACACCGAUUGCGAAGGCAGGUCACUAAGAUUUAACUGACGCUGAUGGACGAAAGCGUGGGGAGCGAACAGGAUUAGAUACCCUGGUAGUCCACGCCGUAAACGAUGCUAACUCGUUUUUGGAUCUUCGGGUUCAGAGACCAAGCGAAAGUGAUAAGUUAGCCACCUGGGGAGUACGUCCGCAAGGAUGAAACUCAAAGGAAUUGACGGGGGCCCGCACAAGCGGUGGAUUAUGUGGUUUAAUUCGAUGAUACGCGAGGAACCUUACCAAGACUUAAAUGGGAAUUGACAGAUUUAGAAAUAGAUCCUCCUUCGGGCAAUUUUCAAGGUGCUGCAUGGUUGUCGUCAGCUCGUGCCGUGAGGUGUUAGGUUAAGUCCUGCAACGAGCGCAACCCCUGCCAACAGUUGCCAUCAUUCAGUUGGGGACUCUGUUGGGACUGCCUACGCAAGUAGAGAGGAAGGUGGGGAUGACGUCAAAUCAUCACGGCCCUUACGUCUUGGGCCACACACGUAAUACAAUGGCCGGUACAGAGGGCAGCUACCUGGUGACAGGAUGCGAAUCUCGAAAGCCGGUCUCAGUUCGGAUUGGAGUCUGCAACUCGACUCUAUGAAGCUGGAAUCGCUAGUAAUCGCGCAUCAGCCAUGGCGCGGUGAAUACGUUCCCGGGCCUUGUACACACCGCCCGUAAUCACUAGUGAAUUC
RNAcentral lists this ribosomal RNA (959 nucleotides) under uncultured Chryseobacterium sp. Its description in RNAcentral is "bacterial SSU rRNA". It matches the Rfam family "Bacterial small subunit ribosomal RNA". The record is from RNAcentral. Lineage: Bacteria; Pseudomonadati; Bacteroidota; Flavobacteriia; Flavobacteriales; Weeksellaceae.